GAUGAACGCUGGCGGCGUGCCUAAUACAUGCAAGUAGAACGCUGAAGGAGGAGCUUGCUCUUCUGGAUGAGUUGCGAACGGGUGAGUAACGCGUAGGUAACCUGCCUGGUAGCGGGGGAUAACUAUUGGAAACGAUAGCUAAUACCGCAUGACAACAGUUAUUGCAUGAUAACUGUUUAAAAGGGGCAACUGCUCCACUACCAGAUGGACCUGCGUUGUAUUAGCUAGUUGGUGAGGUAACGGCUCACCAAGGCGACGAUACAUAGCCGACCUGAGAGGGUGAUAGGCCACACUGGGACUGAGGCACGGCCCAGACUCCUACGGGAGGCAGCAGUAGGGAAUCUUCGGCAAUGGACGGAAGUCUGACCGAGCAACGCCGCGUGAGUGAAGAAGGUUUUCGGAUCGUAAAGCUCUGUUGUAAGAGAAGAACGAGUGUGAGAGUGGAAAGUUCACACUGUGACGGUAUCUUACCAGAAAGGGACGGCUAACUACGUG
RNAcentral lists this ribosomal RNA (495 nucleotides) under uncultured bacterium. RNAcentral's name for it is "partial 16S ribosomal RNA". It matches the Rfam family "Bacterial small subunit ribosomal RNA", at positions 28 to 507 of the family's 1533-position model. The record is from RNAcentral.